Lemur catta (Ring-tailed lemur) is the source of this 1291-nucleotide long non-coding RNA. RefSeq lists it as uncharacterized. The record is from RefSeq and is a predicted model, not a curated record. The transcript has 5 exons. NCBI's taxonomy places the organism in Eukaryota, Metazoa, Chordata, Mammalia, Primates, Lemuridae.
UCCUGCCCUCUCCUCUGCUUCCUUCUCUGGCAGUAACCCAGCCCCUUCACUGCUGCAGGGACAUCUUUCCUUCCUCUGUUCUUCCAGCCCCAGGAGCAGACCAUCAGUUGGAUUUGAAUGCUUUGUUUGAGAGGUGAUUCCAGAGAGAAGGGAAUUAAGCCAACAGGAGGUGUUAAUAAUCAGCCUAUGGCUGUAAAAGUUAGUUCUCGGGCCCACUGAUAACCUCUGGAUUACAACCAUGGCUCAAAGCUGCCCCACCCAAAGGUUUUGGACUAGCUUCAUACAAGGAAUUGGGUCAAGAAGUCGGCUGAACCCUAAAGAAGAUAAACCAAAGAAAUCCACACCACAAUGAAACUUCUGAAAACUAAAGACAAAGAAAAAAUCUGGAAAGCAACCAGAAAAAAUGACCUUACCUUUCUACCUACAGAAGAAAAACAAUUUGUAUGACAGCAGAUUUUUCUUCAGAACAACCAUGCACGGAGGCCAAGCCGGAGGAGGUGCUACGGCAAGCGCUGGAUGAUCAAACCGUCUGAGAGCUGCUCGAAUGCACGUCUUCAUCUGGAACGGCUGAACCUGUGGUGACCAUACCGUGUGCACCCCACAUUGGUCACACGAUCUAACACAUGGGGGGGGGGGUACGCGACAGGGUACAUUACUUAAAAUCAGAACCGUUCUCCACAUUCUGGGACAUAUGGUUGUUCUGGCUACGGGGCACGUUUGCUUCAGAAAGGAGGAAAAAUUCUGAAAGGCAACCUAAGGAACACUCUCUGAAGGAUUAAAAAAAUAUAGAUGCAGCUGGUAAUUUAUAAAACUAUAGCCUGCUGGUACUGAACCUCCCCCAAGCAAGAACUGAUGCUCCCUCGUGCGAAUGUAGACGGCAUUUUAACUCCAAAGGACGAUGACUUUCACAUCUGUUGGCACCUCGUCAGUUGCAGUUUGAAGCCCUCCCUGCACCAAAUGUGCGUGCCUGCCAAUAUUAAUUAUCUCCAUAAUUCUCCUGAAACCUGUCAAAUAAAUGCUUUCCCCCGAAGAGCUGUUCUCCCUAAUAUCAUUAGCACCCCCAUUUCGUCUCCGCUUCUCUGCCGUCCCCACCAACCUCAGGGCUGAUUCGGAGUAACAAGCCCUUUGCAACUGGGCUCGUUAGAUCCUCUUUGAUCAUAAACACGGAGUAAUGCAAAGCAGAAAGGUCAUUUUCUGAGCCCCCAUGGGUGGGGGAAAAAAGUGAAAUAAAUAAUCCUUAAUGCUUUCUUUUUUAAAAAAGUGAUUCUGCAACAUUCCAAUCAAAAGGAAU